Molecule: long non-coding RNA, 2643 nt
Organism: Pteropus alecto (black flying fox)
Lineage: Eukaryota; Metazoa; Chordata; Mammalia; Chiroptera; Pteropodidae
Exons: 7
Source: RefSeq, a predicted model, not a curated record
UGGCAAAGACCUCAUUAAAUGUGAGGAAAGGGAAGCUCAGAGAUAUAAAAUGACUUGACCAAGAUUUUAGAUAAGAGUGGCAGGGGUGAGAUUAGAACUCUGGUUUUUCUGAUGCCCACUCCAGUAUUUUUUCUUUGACAGCAUCCAAAGGCUCUAUUGUGAUGCUGGUUCUCCAGAACAGGUGUAAUAUUUGUUAGUGAAAACAAUGAAUGAUAUCUAUGUAACUAAAAGAACAAGCUUUCUCUAGACCUUCCAUAAGGUGUUUUAGUGGAACUUUUAUUUGGUUAAUUUAAAUUAUGUACAUUGUGACAUUAAACUCACUAGAGACCUACUCUAGUUUUGUCUCAGGGAAAGGUUUCCUCACAGUAACAAUGACACAAGCAGAUACGGUACACAACCAGAUAUUACUCAUGUGCCGCACCUUAAAACUACCACAGAACAAGUUUUCUAUUCACAAAUCCGGAAACACUUCAGAGUUAUCUAACUCUUACAUCCUGAGAAUAACUAAUUACAGCUGAUACAUAAUUCCUUUAUUGUGUACAGUGUUUUUUAUAUGUAUCACUGGAGUCUCGAAAACAAGUUUUGCCUUUAGAUUUAUGAAUAUCUAUUGUUACUUAAUUUUCAGAAUCGAUAAAUAAGGGGGAACAGUCGUAUACACACUUUCGCUCAUUCGCUUAUAUUCAUUCAGACAGUCCUAGUGGGACUAUAGCAGGUUCAUGAAAAGCUGGACCUAGAGGUGUGCCUUUUUAGGCUCUGCUUGGUGAAUCGUGCUUUUGAGCUGUUUUCGACCUGUAGACACUGGUGUCCUCCCUGGGCUGAGCGAGUUCAAGGAGAAAUAGGUGGCUGCAGGGAAAAUGCAAGCUGGAUAAGCUCUAUUUUGCCCCUUCAAUAGUUUCAGAACUAUUUUUAACCGUGAAGGCCACGAUUAUCUUUUGCCCUUUGCUCACUCUGCCCUCCUCCCCAUAAGGAAUCUCAUAAUAGUCUUCCUGUUUUAUGUAAGCGAUUUAAUUAAAUAGUUAUGGCAUUUACAAUUUUUAUGGAAGGGCUCUGGCGAUAACUCAGUCGCCACAAGCCGCUGAAGGGCCAUCACGGAUUAAGAGGCAGGUUUCCCGGAGGGCUCCACCGUGGGGCAAGUGACUGAAGCGGGCAGGUCAGUUGGGAAGUCCUUUACCCUUUUCUAUGAACUCUGUGAUAGCCUGGCACCCCACACCCCGUCAGACAAGUGACUCGAGCGUACUCUCUGCUGCCUCCGCCAAACCUCAUGGGACUCCACCCGGGGGGUAGCGGGGUGGGCGGGGGAAGGAGGCAAUCAUGCUCAGUUCCGCCGGCGAACACGUGCAAGGCUUGGCUGGGUUGCAGUGCCGUGGGGUACAUGGGGCGAAAUGAUUUCACAAACGCCAAGAGGAAGGAGCGCGGAAUAUACGUCACUUCUAGGAAGCCUGGAAAAUAUCAAGCCGCGGGGUCUGCCGGGAAGAGCCGCUCACAAGCCAGAAGAACUGCAAGGCACAGGGCCACUCCGCGCACGCGCAGUGCGCUCUUCCUGCGCAUGGUUGCGGUCGAGAGACUCCCUCCGCCAGCUGCCGGAUCUAACUUGCCGGCCUUCUUACUAAGCCAGUCUGCGAACUCUGCGCCGCCGUGGCGCCCGCCUCUUGUGAGUCCCUUUCCUGAGGCCUCUCUUGGCUAGAUAUGAUGAACUGUUUAUUGAAUUAAGGACUCUGCUUACUUGGAAUGGAAAUUUUGAAGGACCCCUCAGAGCCACCUAAGCAACCCUAUAGGGCAGAUGGAUUAGUUCCUAGUUUAUAGAUGAAGAAAUGGAGCUACAGUGAGGUCAACCGGCUUUUGCCCAGAUUCCCAGAACACAUUGGUGGUGGAGAUGUAACUCAAGCCAAGUCGACUGGAUCCAGCUGCCUUUGCCUCUCUUCUGAUGUUUCUCAGAGUCGUCUGCUUUGGCAUCUCCCCGAUUCUGCUCCGGCCCCAUCUGAUGUCGUCUCCACACAGCAGACUGAGUGAUCUUUUGAAAAUAAACUGGGUAACGUCUGCUGCUCAAAACUCUUCGGUGACUUCCUAUAGACUGCAAUGAAAUCUAAUAAAAUCUGUCAUGGCUUACAAGGCCAGGGAAAACUGACAACUGUUAAGAAGAAAGGCAAAGAUGAAGCCAAAUACAAAAUCACCCAUGAAAACUAUUUGAAAAAUAUAAGUAAAGUAGAAGAAAAAUAGGUCUUCAUUUCAAGAAAAUGAAGAAAGAGCAAUGCUGUUUUUCAUAUUCCAGUACAAUUUGAUUCACAUCAAAAUGUUUAUACCCAGGAAUGGAAUUGCUGAGCCAUAAGUGAACUUUUGGUCAUCACUAGAAAGAAUGUGCCCUGCAAUAGCAGUGAUGAGUCCGACUCAGUUCCCGAAAGAGAAAUGCGAAGACUCAGUCAAUCAUAAAAUCUUCAGGGGAAGUUCAUCUGGAAGAAGUCAACUUUUUCCUAUCACACACUCUUGAUGGCUGCCAAAUACAAGCUAGAUGUCCAAACAGUAAGGAUACAAAGUAGUCAGUAUCAAUAUAAUCAGAAAUAAAUUUGGGACACUUUUUUAGGAGCUAGCACGAUUUGCGAAUGCAAAAUUAAUUUUAGAAUUUCUAUGAAUUUUAAAUCAAAUACA